This 426-nucleotide ribosomal RNA is filed under the name uncultured bacterium. RNAcentral's name for it is "bacterial SSU rRNA". It matches the Rfam family "Bacterial small subunit ribosomal RNA", at positions 356 to 773 of the family's 1533-position model. The record is from RNAcentral.
GGGGAAUCUUCCGCAAUGGACGAAAGUCUGACGGAGCAACGCCGCGUGAGUGAAGAAGGUUUUCGGACCGUAAAACUCUGUCAUUUAGGGCGAACGUAUUGCUGGUGAACAAUCAGCGAUAGUGACGGUACUAAAGGAGGAAGCCACGGCUAACUACGUGCCAGCAGCCGCGGUAAUACGUAGGUGGCGAGCGUUGUCCGGAAUUAUUGGGCGUAAAGCGCGCGUAGGCGGGAUAGUCAGUCUGUUGUAAAAGUGCGGGGCUCAACCCCGUAAGGUCAAUGGAAACUGCUAUUCUUGAGUGCAGGAGAGGAAAGUGGAAUUCCCAGUGUAGCGGUGAAAUGCGUAGAUAUUGGGAGGAACACCAGUGGCGAAGGCGACUUUCUGGACUGUGUCUGACGCUGAGGCGCGAAAGCCAGGGGAGCGAAC